Molecule: ribosomal RNA, 468 nt
Filed under: uncultured bacterium
Lineage: Bacteria
Description: partial 16S ribosomal RNA
Rfam family: Bacterial small subunit ribosomal RNA
Source: RNAcentral
GACGAACGCUGGCGGCGUGCUUAACACAUGCAAGUCGAACGGAAAGGCCCUGCUUUUGUGGGGUGCUCGAGUGGCGAACGGGUGAGUAACACGUGAGUAACCUGCCCUUGACUUUGGGAUAACUUCAGGAAACUGGGGCUAAUACCGGAUAGGAGCUCCUGCUGCAUGGUGGGGGCUGGAAAGUUUCGGCGGUUGGGGAUGGACUCGCGGCUUAUCAGCUUGUUGGUGGGGUAGUGGCUUACCAAGGCUUUGACGGGUAGCCGGCCUGAGAGGGUGACCGGCCACAUUGGGGCUGAGAUACGGCCCAGACUCCUACGGGAGGCAGCAGUGGGGAAUAUUGCACAAUGGGCGGAAGCCUGAUGCAGCAACGCCGCGUGCGGGAUGACGGCCUUCGGGUUGUAAACCGCUUUCGCCUGUGACGAAGCGUGAGUGACGGUAAUGGGUAAAGAAGCACCGGCUAACUACGUG